AGGCACGAUGAUGCUAGUGUUGGAGGGUUUCCGCCCUUCAGUGCUGCAGCUAACGCAUUAAGCAUUCCGCCUGGGGAGUACGGCCGCAAGGCUGAAACUCAAAGGAAUUGACGGGGGCCCGCACAAGCGGUGGAGCAUGUGGUUUAAUUCGAAGCUACGCGAAGAACCUUACCAGGUCUUGACAUACUAUGCAAAUCUAAGAGAUUAGACGUUCCCUUCGGGGACAUGGAUACAGGUGGUGCAUGGUUGUCGUCAGCUCGUGUCGUGAGAUGUUGGGUUAAGUCCCGCAACGAGCGCAACCCUUAUUAUCAGUUGCCAGCAUUAAGUUGGGCACUCUGGUGAGACUGCCGGUGACAAACCGGAGGAAGGUGGGGAUGACGUCAAAUCAUCAUGCCCCUUAUGACCUGGGCUACACACGUGCUACAAUGGAUGGUACAACGAGUUGCGAACUCGCGAGAGUAAGCUAAUCUCUUAAAGCCAUUCUCAGUUCGGAUUGUAGGCUGCAACUCGCCUACAUGAAGUCGGAAUCGCUAGUAAUCGCGGAUCAGCAUGCCGCGGUGAAUACGUUCCCGGGCCUUGUACACACCGCCCGUCACACCAUGAGAGUUUGUAACACCCAAAGUCGGUGGGGUAACCUUUUAGGAACCAGCCGCCUAAGGUGGGACAGAUGAUUAGGGUGAAGUCUGAAGAGGGUGUCACACGAAAGGGUCCCGGGGAAAAG
This 721-nucleotide ribosomal RNA is filed under the name Lactiplantibacillus paraplantarum. RNAcentral's name for it is "bacterial SSU rRNA". It matches the Rfam family "Bacterial small subunit ribosomal RNA", at positions 801 to 1533 of the family's 1533-position model. The record is from RNAcentral. Lineage: Bacteria; Bacillati; Bacillota; Bacilli; Lactobacillales; Lactobacillaceae.